Molecule: ribosomal RNA, 130 nt
Filed under: Schizosaccharomyces pombe (fission yeast)
Lineage: Eukaryota; Fungi; Ascomycota; Schizosaccharomycetes; Schizosaccharomycetales; Schizosaccharomycetaceae
Source: RNAcentral
UGUCUACGGCCAUACCUAGGCGAAAACACCAGUUCCCGUCCGAUCACUGCAGUUAAGCGUCUGAGGGCCUCGUUAGUACUAUGGUUGGAGACAACAUGGGAAUCCGGGGUGCUGUAGGCUUCCUUUUAUU